This 586-nucleotide ribosomal RNA is filed under the name uncultured bacterium. Its description in RNAcentral is "partial 16S ribosomal RNA". It matches the Rfam family "Bacterial small subunit ribosomal RNA", at positions 355 to 1375 of the family's 1533-position model. The record is from RNAcentral.
UGGGGAAUUUUGGACAAUGGGCGAAAGCCUGAUCCAGCAAUGCCGCGUGUGUGAAGAAGGCCUUCGGGUUGUAAAGCACUUUUGUCCGGAAAGAAAUCCUUGGCUCUAAUACAGUCGGGGGAUGACGGUACCGGAAGAAUAAGCACCGGCUAACUACGUGCCAGCAGCCGCGGUAAUACGUAGGGUGCAAGCGUUAAUCGGAAUUACUGGGCGUAAAGCGUGCGCAGGCGGUUUGCUAAGACCGAUGUGAAAUCCCCGGGCUCAACCUGGGAACUGCAUUGGUGACUGGCAGGCUAGAGUAUGGCAGAGGGGGGUAGAAUUCCACGUGUAGCAGUGAAAUGCGUAGAGAUGUGGAGGAAUACCGAUGGCGAAGGCAGCCCCCUGGGCCAAUACUGACACUCAUGCACGAAAGCGUGGGGAGCAAACAGGAUUAGAUACCCUGGUAGUCCACGCCCUAAAACGAUGUCAACUAGUUGUUGGGGAUUCAUUUCCUUAGUAACGUAGCUAACGCGUGAAGUUGACCGCCUGGGGAGUACGGUCGCAAGAUUAAAACUUAAAGGAAUUGACGGGGUCAUAGCUGUUUCCU